Molecule: long non-coding RNA, 10630 nt
Filed under: Populus trichocarpa (black cottonwood)
Lineage: Eukaryota; Viridiplantae; Streptophyta; Magnoliopsida; Malpighiales; Salicaceae
Description: long non-coding RNA (PTRI_LNC004496)
Source: RNAcentral
GAAGUUAAUCAAUUGAUGGGUUACUAAAUUGAUGAUUUUCAGGAGUAUAUCCACCAAAGCAGGAGGUGCGGUCUCCUGAUAAAAAACGAUGUUGUACUUUUCGAACAGUAACGCAAGGGUACUAUGAAGCCGGUCCUUAUGUGGCACCACCUCCAGUUAAUGACCCUAUGAAAUAUGGUCCUCAACACCUCCAACAGCCACCUCCUCCAGAAAGAACUAGUCAGAGGGAUGAUGACUUUGGCACAGGAUGGUAACUGAGCAUUUUUUUUUCCUUUUUAUUUAAAUAAUGAUUCACUGUGUACUUAUUUAUUUAUCCUUUUCCUAUGUGACACAGUUGCUGCUGCUGAAUCUAGAACGCGUGCUUUGAAGGACUAUGAAUGAUUCUCUGUAAAAUUUGCAGCUUAUAAUUGUUUUUCCCUUGUGUUUCUUGUUGGAAAUAAUAAUCAUUUUCGCUCUUUUUAUGUCACUGUACGUACUACGUUUAACGUUUAACAUUUGUCUAAUUCCUUCAGCCUUUAUUAUAGGAAAGAUGUUAACCAUGUUAGAAAAUCUUGCUUCCACAUGAGUCUAUCUUAGAAACAGAAUUUGGAAGAAAAAUUGAUUAAAAAUUCAGUUUCUACAGAUUCAAAGUUCAUCGAGUUACCUACCGAAAUCAAUCUAGCACCUGUCCAUAUCCGCUUAAGUGAUGGUAAGGGAAGCAUUAAGCGGCCGACACCAUAGAUAGCCACUGCAAAGAAAUGGAGAACCAAGUUCAUUGGCCGAUGGUCUAGACCAAAGACUAGAGCUAUGGGUCCAAGAGUUUUGGGUCUCUUUUAAUUGUUAGAUCCAAGAGUCUUAGGUCUAGCUUUAAUGCUGGACCUAAAAACUACGAGUUCGGACAUCAAAAUCAAGAGUUGUGGGUCUACAUGCCGAAUCUAAGAGCUGCGGCUCUGGAGAGCCUUGGAUUGGUCUACAAAGCCAGAUCCAAGAGCUUUAGGCUAAAGAGAGCUGCAAAACUCAAGUAAUUUGGGUUUGUCAUUCUUUUCCAACCCCAAGUUACUUGGUCUGAAAAGCGAUGUUAGACUCAAGUUAAUAAUAAUAAUAUUAAUAAUAAUUGAUUUUACCUUUAAAAUUAAAUUUAUGUUUUUUUUAAUAGUAAUAAUUUUUUUAAAUGUAAUAAUAUUAAUAAUAUUAAAUUUGUCUGAUCCAAGUUUUUAUAGUUUUUAAUUUUUUAAUAAAAUUUAUGAUUUUUCUACAAUAAUGACAAUAUUUUUUAAAAAUUUAAUAAUAAUAAUAAAAAAAACUCAUAUAACCCAAAUUUUUAUAAUUUUUAGUUCAUACAAGUCAAAUUUAGGAUUGUUGCAGACACCCAGCAGCCACCUCGUGAAAAGAAUAGGAAUAAAUGGCGAGUAAUACUGAACAUUCACACACACAAACAUACAAAUUGGGAUUAUUUGUUUUUGGUGAAGCAAUUGGCUGUGUUGCUGCGAGUUCCUCUCCAAUGUGUCCGAGUGAUCGACAUUGAUUCUUCCUAGCUCAUCAAAUCUUUCGAAAUUCUUGUGGGAAAUCGUCUUAAUCCGUUUGGUAUUCACUUAUGAAACAAUAAAUGUUUUUUACAGGUGUGCUGUGAAUUUUAAUUAUUUCAGAAAAUACGCAACAAUAAUGACAUUUUUCUUUCAAAGUCCGUACUUUAUUUACAAAUGAAAGAUCAGAAUAAACUAAAGGUAAAAUUGUGUUAAAAAUUAUUUUGGAUUUAAAAUUAAGGUGUGUGUGUGUGUGUGUAUAUAUAUAUAUAUAUAUAUAUUUAAUGUUUUCCCAUAUGCAUGUUAUUGUUGUUAUUGUUAUCAUAUAUUCUGUUUGGACUGAGAUCCAUUGCUAAUAGAGACGACUAAACCCUAGUAGGUAUUUUGAUAGUUUGGUAAUGAGUCCAAUACCCAAUGGAAAAAUAGGAAAAUUAAAAACAAAAGUAAAAGAAUGAAAGUAAAGCACGAAAACAAAGGAUAAUCCAAGAUAUCUCUAUUUUAGUGUCAAGAUUCAAGUCUUUGAAAAGAAAUAUACAUUUACCAUUAAUAUCACAAAUACACACAUAAUUCAUUAAUAAUAUUAAAAUACAGUUAAUAAGUUGAUCAGGUUUAUGUUUAUUUGAUUAAUAAGAAUGAAUUAUAUUUCCAUUUAAUUAGAAAAAUAGCAAUAUAUAGUUCAAAUUAAUUUGAAUAAUCUGAUGGCAUGGCUUAAUAAUAAAUAUGGGUUACAGGAGAGAGCCACCCUUUUCUAUGCAAUUCAAGGCUUUUGAGCUAUUUUUUGUCUCGUUUUGAUUAGAAGAUCAAUUAUUAUUUUCAAUAUCAUUUCGGAGGAACCUUCUGUCCAUUUUCUAUGCAUUUCAAGUUAGAAAACGAAGGCAGAUUCCACAUUGCUUUUUUGAACAAAUGGAUUGAAUUAUUGAAAGAAAUCUCAAUUGUCAGAACAUGUAGGUCGUCUAGCUAGUUUUUCCAUGCAUGUCAGAAGUCGCCAUUGACGAAAACCUUAGCCAAGUCUAUAAAACAUAAUAUUUCAUUUCAUUCAUUUGGUUUUUCCAUAUACCAAAUAAGUUUUUCAUAGGUGAUCAUUUCAACAAUGAGUUACGACAGCAACAACCAUCAAGCUUCCGCAGGUAAUUGAAUUUAUGUUCGGCUUCUGAAAAUCUUUUUUCUUCCCCCUUUUUUUCUGUGAUUUAGGAAGUUAAUCAAUUGAUGGUUUACUAAAUUGAUGAUUUUCAGGAGUAAAUCCUCCACCACCUACUUCAUGUCCACCAAAGCAGGAGGUGUGUUAUCCAGAAUAUCUUUCUUCUCAACCACCAAUGCAAGGGUACUUUGAAGCCGGUCCUGAUGUGGCACCACCUCUAGUUAGUGACCCUAUGAAAUAUGGUCCUCAACACCUCCAACCGCCACCUCCUCCUCCAGAAAGAACUAAUAAGACGGAUGAUGAAUUUUGCACAGGAUGGUAACUGAGCUUCUUUUUUUCCCUUUUUAUUUAAAUAACGAUUCACUGUGUACUUAUUUAUUUAUCUUUUUCCUAUGUGACACAGGUGCUGCUGCCUCUAGGACGCGUGCUUUUAAGGACUAUGAGGGAUUCUCUGCAAAAUUUGCAGCUUAUAAUUGUUUCCCUUGUGUUUCUUGUUGGGAAUCAUAAUUAUUUCCGCUCUUUUUAUGUCACUGUACGGACUACGUAUGCUUUAUCCACACUAUAUUCUCCGUUUAUUUGAGUUGAGAGUAUGUUAAUAAUUAUUUUUUAAAAUUAUUUUUGAUAUGAAUAUAUAAAAAAUAUUCUAAAAAUAUAUAAAAUAAUUCUAAGUGAUGUUUUUUAAAAUUUUAACCGUUCUCUAUUUAGCAUGCAAUCCUAAUCAGUGGCGAAAUCUUAAAAAGGAUCUCAGUACAAUCAAAUUGCUGAUAGAUGGGCUAUAGACUAGUUUGUGUUUUGAACGUUGAGCAGCUUGGUAAUGGGACAGACAGGCUCCAUGGCGUAACCUGCACGAGUGGGAAUGGAGACUGUAGACUUUAGAAAAGAAAAGAAAGGCUAAAGAAUUAUGCAAUGAAACAUAACUAAUCAUUGUAUAUACUCUUAUAGGUUGUUUUACAUUACAUUUGUACUUGUGUUUUUUAAUGUAUUUUAAAGGUGUGUUUGGUAUAAAAAAAAAACAUCAAAUUAAAAUUUUAAAUUUUUUUAUGAUAGUUUUAAUGUAAUGAUGUUACUAAUAAGAAUUUUUUUAAAAAAAAUUAAUAUAUUUUUUUAAAAAUACAUAUCAAACACAUAUUUGAUCUUCCGACAAAAGAUAUGAACUCAAAUGAUUUGUUAAUUCAAGGGCCGAUCGAUUAAUAGAAACACUCGAUCUUUUGUAAGAAGCUUAAAAUAAUAUCAUUCCAAGUUUUUUUUUUUCUAAAUCAAAGAUUAAGUAAAUCUCACUUAAACUUUCAACCCAUGACACGAGACUCACUCGAAACUAGAUUCAACCUGGGUGGUAUCUUAUAACUAUGCUAUUAAUGACUUUAAUUGCCACAUCUCCGUGUUCGGCUUGUAAAGGAAACAUAUGAACCCUCGAGCCUCGAAGUUUUUUUUAAAAAUAAAUUAGGCAUUUAGUACAAAUUCACGAGGGAUAUCUUGUUCCCAAGUUGAAGAACAAAUCAGAGAAUCACAGUUGUAUGACUUCUACAAGAAUGGAGACUAAGCUAUUCUCACAAACGUGAAUUGCUCAUGCAAACUAGUUUCAGUUCUUGAUGGAAAAUCGCUCUAUCCAUUCUGUCAGGCAAUCGGAGGAGCUCUGUGGUAUGGUGGUACCCUUACAGGGAAGAACAUUUGUCUAAGAAAACAAGGGGUGAAUGGUGCUGUUACCACUCACUACUUCUAGACUUUCCCUUUCUGUUUUAGUCAAAGAGCUCGGGACUGAUACCAUGCCUUUUAUAGGCUUAAAAAACAGCAAAGUUUUGACAUUUUCUGUAAAACAUUUAGGCAAUGAAUUGCUUUCAAAUAAAACCAUGGGAUCCAAAACAGGGGGAGACUGACAGUUUUGUUGUUACAUUAUUGUCACAAAUUAAGUUAUUGAACCCAUUUUUGUUAUCAUCAGGCAAUGUAUACAGAGCUUAGGAUCAGUUGUUCACUUGACAAGUCUAUUUGACGUUUGGAAGCUCUUCAUUUAAGAUCUAAGAUUUUUUCGUGUAAUCACAUGUUUGCUUGACCUAAGACUUGUAAUCAUAUCAACCAUGAUACCAAAAUGAAAAAUCAUUUGUUUGUAAAUUAGUCCUUUAAUUUGUUUUCCAUAACAUUUUUAUUUUUUUCCUACAAUGUUCUUUAUUUUUAGUUAAUUCUUUUUAAUACUUAUAGGUCCUGUAAGGUCUUUACCUAUAUAUUUUGACCUAUUUUAUAUAAAUCACUUAUUACAAGCAAAAUAAAAAGUUUGAUAUUUUUAUGUGAAAAUAUCAUUUCUUCCAAAAAAAAAAAAAAGAGUUCAUCUAUAAAGAUAUGGGUUUGCUUGAGUAUUGUUUUUUAAAAAAUUAUUGAUUGUUGAAUUUGUUGAAAGGAUAAACUUCUUUUUUUUUUACUUUCUAAAAAUAUGUUUAUCUUGAAAAAAAUAUUAAAUUAAUAUUUGUUUUCAAUAAUUUUGAUGUGUUAAUGUUAUAAAAAGAUUCUGAAAAAAAAAUUAUUUUAAUAUAUUUUCAAGUAAAAAAAUAAAAUAACACUUUUAAAAAACACUUUAUAAUACCAAGCACAUAAUUAAUGCAUUAUAAUAUAUAAGUAUAUAUGACAGAACGGGCAUAUGAGAAGGGCAAUUUAUGAAGUUUAAUAUGAAUUUAACAGUCAGGGGAUUAACUUAUUAUUUUCAAAAUCAAAAGGACUAAAUUGCAACAUAAUAAAAAAGGAAUUAAAUUAUAAUUUUCCCACAACAGAAAUGUUUUGUCCUUGUGAGCCUGAGACUUCUGUAGAGACCCAAAUCAGUCACUAGCAACUCAUAUUUUACCUUCUAACAAAUGGAGCAAAGUCCAUUUAUGAUCUAUCUAUGAAAUUGAAAUGAAUGGAGGAUCUCAAUUCGUGUAGAGUUUAUAACAUUCUAUUAAAAAAAUGCUUUGGCAGCCCUUUUCUUUUAAGCUUUUAGAAAAACAUUCUGCAAGGAAAAAAAAUCUAAUUUUCUGAAUGAGCUGCCCUGACACAAGCUUUUUUUUAAGGGAAAAAAAAUUGAUCAAAUAAAUACUGGGAAAUUCGUGAAAAUUGAAUCAUGCUUUUGUUUCAUUUGGGCAUCGAAUCUGUCUAGAAAAACAUUAAUGCAACUUUAUAUCGAUUAGCUAGGAAAGCUCUCCCAGUAUGUUUUGAGAACACUUGGUCUAGACAUUAGAAACAAGUGAAAGUCGCUUGCUUCCUAGCUGAAGCUUCGUUUCUUCUGUCUCACCAUUGAAAUAGUCGAGGAUAUAUGCUGAAACAUAGAUGAUCUAGGAUUAAAGAUGCAGAAAGCACAUGAAUUCAUUCUUUGUGCGACUCCUUCAACAUAAUAGCAAAAGGAGAUGGUCUCUCAAAGUGUUUUUGGGUAGAGGUUAAAACACAAACCUGAAACCAAACACCAUCUGACAUGCAGCGAAAGAGUAAUCAACAGAAUUCGGAUAUACUAGUAUGAAAGCAGAUAAAAGGGCCCCAAGCUAUAAUUUGUGCAUGUCAGAAAGAGCUACAAUCAAAAUUCAUCCCACAAUAACUUUUGUAAGGACUGAUUAUUGAAGAAGUAUAUAGGACAUCGCAGGAUUCAAGAUGUGCUGGGUUGAAGCAUCAAGCUCGUCACAAGAAUUCUACAAUAAUAGUAUUGUCUAAAUGUUCAUCAAGAAUUUGAUGAUGAGGUAAUAUUUAUUUACCCCGAAUCUUGACCUUAAGUGUCCAUUUAACCUUUCCCUCUGGCAACGGAAUAGACUUUGGGAAGCGUAGUGGCACCUCAACUUGUACUUAUAUACAAGCGGGAUAGAUCCAAGAAGAGAAGAAAAUCACAUUCGAAUUUGUUCUUCUUCUCAUGUCUCUGUUUCUGUGUUUAUCUUUAUUGUAAAUUUGUAUAUAUCUAGGAGUUAUAAAUUGAAAAACAUAAAGAGACAUGCCCAUUUCAAUACCAAAUAUCGAGUUCCUGACUUCCUGAGGCAAGAAGUUCAACCCCUUUGAGGUAUUUCCUCUGUACUCGUGUUUGUGCCUCAUGUUCUUAAGCAUCUGUCCAGUGAUGCUAGCAAGCAAGGGUCAAAAGACGUGAUGAAAUAUGAUAGACUAAAAAUUGGAUUAAUAAAAAAAAUAAAAACGAGCCUUUUGGUUGUACUUUAAAUUGACUUGAUCCUAAUUAUUGUUCUCUGCAAAUAGGAAAUCAUAUGUACAGAAGCAGAUAAUGGAAUCAAGAAUAUUCUUUGAAUUCGUCAAGAAUAUAUGAAGUAUGUUUAUAGAAAAGGAUGCCGAUAAUGUUGAAAUAGGAGAAAGAUUCCCUUUUGAUAUAUUUAGAAUCAAGUAAAAAUAUUCCUAGUUUAAAAAGAUUUGUAUUUAGGUUUUUUAUUAAAUUAAUAUUUAAAAUCCUUGUUAGAAAAAGAUAGUUUAAAUUUAUCUUGAUUCUAUGAACUUCUUUUAAAUAUAAGGGUGACAUGUGUUAAUUAUCAAUGAAUAAAAGCUUAGUAUUAAUUAAAGUUUCUUGGAAUAAAUCAAGUCUUGGUUUCAAAAGAUGACACCUACCAAUCUCACGGUAAGAUUUUAGGAGCGUAUCCACCGCCACCGAGCCAGCUGGGGAGCGGUGUCCUCCUCCUUCGCAAGCUUAUGCACUACCCGUCCAAGCUGGUCCGUAUGUUGCUCCACAUCCAGUUGAUUACCCUCCGACAAAUGGUGCUGAACACACCAAAAUAUCACCCCCUCCUGAAAAAGAAGAAGCAUAAAUGGUAACUGAGCAUUUCAAAACUCUCUCUGUGUAAAUUCCAUUGCAAAUAAUAAUUCAUCGUUAUAUAUAUAUAUAUAACGAUGAAUUAUUAUUUGCAAUGGAAUUUACACACAGAGAGAGAAAGAGAGUGUGUGUGUGUGUGUAUAAACACCCACACACACCUGAGGGGACAAAUUUUCUUAUCUUUUGGACGCAGUUGUCCGUGUUGUUUCGAAUGUUUCUGCAGACUUUAAUUCUUCAUAGCUCACAUCUCUCGGAAUCCACCUUGUGGGAAAUUGUCUUAAUUUGUUUGUUUUUCACACAUGUUUUCUGUAACUAAUUUCCUUGUACACAUAUUUUGAUGUAAAUCUGUUUUAUUAUUUCAACAAAAUGGGCAAUCAAUCAUGGAAUCGCUCUUUCAAAAUUAGAGUUUGGUAUCGGUUUUACCCUCCGACUUUUAGAAAUUCUUAAUUGAGGACUUUUAUCCAGUUUUCAGGUUUUCCAUUCCACAUUAAUUUCCAUCCAAAUUGUACUUUUUUUAUAACAAUUAUUAGGGGUGAAAAAAAUAUGGAUAAGCUGAUAAAACUAAGAAAAAAAUUAAUUAAAAAAACCAAACCAAGAAAAAAAUUAAAAGAAAAAUUAGUUUGGCUUCAAUUUAAAACUUAUGAAACUAAUUGAAUUGAAUCAUACCGGUCCAUUAAGAAUGAAUAUAAAAAUGUUGUUUAAAAUAUAGUUUCAUGAUAAUGAAUAUAUAAGAUGUCUAAUUUUUUUAAAACCUUGAUAUUAAAUGUUGAUAAUGAAUAUAUCAAUUAGUUUAUUCUCUAAUUUGUUGUAUCUAUGAUAUAUAUUAUAUGUUAUUGUCUCACCAAGUUAAUUGAACUCAUCCCUUCUUAUUAAUAUUAUUUUCAAGUUCUUAACUUCUGUUAGUAGGUUGAUUUUGUUAAGAGUUCUGGCUAUUUUUUUUUUGUUGGUAUGUCUCAGUUUCUUUCGUGAGAUUUUUUUUUAAUUUUUUUUAAUUUAAUGUUUUAGACACUUUAUUAUUAUAUUGUUUCAUUUAAAGUAUAGAUUUUUAUAUUGUAAUAAGUAUUAUUUGAUUUAAGUGGUUUUGAAGAAUAUUUUGAAAAUAUACAAAAUGUUACGAGUUUUAUUUAAUUUAUUUUAUAAUAAAUAUAUUUGAAACUUAACGUAAAUAAGAUGCUCUCAUAGCACUGCUUCUAUGUUGCCCGUCACUAACUCGGAAUCUGGCUCGUGACAUUGAAUAUCUUUAGCACUGUCCAUGUGAAACAUUUUCCUAUCUAGCUAGGUACUUAAGUUUCUUGUGAGUUAUUGAUUUCGAAAAAGGAGUCAGUACCACAAUACCAGCUAUCAAUCUCAAGGUAUGCAAAAUUAAUUAACUAUAAUCCUAUAAUGAAAUAAGUUGUCAAUAAUAUUACUAGUCUUUUGUUUAUAUAUGGUUAAUCAAGUUGAUAAAUUGAUGGGUUGCUAACUUGCUAUUGAUUUUUCAGGAGCAUAUCCGCCACCAAGCCAGCAGGUGCCUCCUCCUCCUCCUCCUCCUCCUGGUGCGCCCCAAAUAUCUUACCCACCACCAGUUCAAGGGUACCAUCAAGGUCAAUAUGUUGCCCACCUGCACCCACUUGAAAAAUAAUAAUAAUAAUAAGAUGCCCUCGUAGCACUGCUAUUAUUAUUAUUAUUAUUAUUAUUAUAUUCUGUUUGGUCGUUUUGUACAUUUUGGUGGGCCAGGCCCAGGACCCCACAUACUUGGACUGAUAGUUUGGUAAUGAGUCCAAUACCCAAUGGAAAAAUAGGAAAAACAAAAGGAAAAGAAUGAAAGUAAAGCACAAAAACAAAGGAUAAUCCAAGUGCACAAAUCAGUGUGGGACUCAUGCUCAAAAGCUGAAUUUGAUUCGUGUAUCUGGGGUACUUAUCAAUAAAUCUACGUGGAACACACAUUUCUUUAAUUAAAUUAUGAGAUUAAUUAAUUAAUUAAUGAAACGGUGUAAGAAAGGUCUCUCUAUUUUAGUGUCAAGAUUCAACUUUUUAAACCAUUUAGUAGCAGAGUGAUAAUAAUUUGGGAUUAAAAAUUUUUUUUUUUUAUGAUUUUAGAAUGGAGUAAUGUGGUUGCUAAUAUGAUAGUCACUAGAGGUUUAAAUGGUCAUUAAUUUCAGGACCCGUGGAAUUAGUUGAGUUGCGCGCAAGCUGAUCCGGAUACCCAUAUUAAUCAAAAGAAGAAGAAAAAGAAGAUUCAACUCUUUGAAAAGAAAUAUAGAUUUACCAUUAAUAUCACAAAUACACACAUAAUUUAUUAAUAAUAUUAAGAUACAGUUAAUAAGUUGAUCAGGUUUCUGUUUAUAAAGAAUGAAUUAUAUUUCCAUUUAAUUAGAAAAAUAGCAAUAUAUAGUUCAAAUUAAUUUGAUGGCGUGUCUUAAUCUAAUAAAUAUGGGUUACGUACAGGAGAGAGCCACCAUUUUCUAUGCAAUUCAAGGCUUUCGAGCUAUUUUUGUUGUCUCGUUUUGAUUAGAAGAUCAAUUAUUAUUUUCAUUAUCUUGACCAUCUAAAAGCAGACUAAAGUUUCAUUUCUGGAACCUUCUGUCCAUUUUCUAUGCAAUUCAAGUUAGCAAACGAAGGCAGAGUCCACAUUGCUUUUUUGAACAAAUGGAUUGAAUUAUUAUUGAAAGAAAUCCCAAUCGUCACAACAUGAUAGGUCGUCUAGCUAGUUUUUCCAUGCAUGUAAGAAGCCGCCAUUGACGAAGACCUUAAAGAACAUCUAGCCAACUCUAUAAAACAUAUCAUUUCAUUCAUUUGGUUUUUCCAUAUACCAAAUACAAGUUUUUCAUAGGUGAUCCUAUCUUGAUUUCAACAAUGAGUUACGACAGCAACAAGUAUCAAGAUUCAGAAGGUAAUUGAAUUUAUGUUCGGCUUCUGAAAAUCUUUUUUUUUUCCCCUUUUUUUCUGUGAUUUAGGAAGUUAAUCAAUUGAUGGGUUACUAAAUUGAUGAUUUUUCAGGAGUAUAUCCUCCUCCUCCUCCUCCUCCUUGUCCACCACCAAUGCAAGGGUACUAUGAAGCCGGUCCUCAUGUGGCACCACCUCGAGUUAGUGACCCUAUGAAAUAUGGUCCUCAACACCUCCAACAGCCACCUCCUCCAGAAAGAACUAGUCAGAGGGAUGAUGACUUUGGCACAGGAUGGUAACUGAGCAUUUUUUUUCCCUUUUUAUUUAAAUAAUGAUUCACUGUGUACUUAUUUAUUUAUCCUUUUCCUAUGUGAC